This 1724-nucleotide long non-coding RNA is filed under the name Homo sapiens (human). RNAcentral's name for it is "HSALNT0320684". The record is from RNAcentral. Lineage: Eukaryota; Metazoa; Chordata; Mammalia; Primates; Hominidae.
UGAGGCAGGAGAGUGGCUUGAAUCCGGGAGGAGGAGGUUGCAGUGAGCCGAGAUUGUGCCACUGCACUCCAGCCUGGGUGACAGAGAGAGAUUCCAUCUCAAAAAAACAAGUUAUUAAAAAUGUAUAUGAAUGCUCCUAAUAUGGUCAGGAAGCAAGGAAGCGAAGGAUAUAUUAUGAGUUUUAAGAAGGUGCUUAGCUGUAUAUUUAUCUUUCAAAAUGUAUUAGAAGAUUUUAGAAUUCUUUCCUUCAUGUGCCAUCUCUACAGGCACCCAUCAGAAAAAGCAUACUGCCGUUACCGUGAAACUGGUUGUAAAAGAGAAACUAUCUAUUUGCACCUUAAAAGACAGCUAGAUUUUGCUGAUUUUCUUCUUUCGGUUUUCUUUGUCAGCAAUAAUAUGUGAGAGGACAGAUUGUUAGAUAUGAUAGUAUAAAAAAUGGUUAAUGACAAUUCAGAGGCGAGGAGAUUCUGUAAACUUAAAAUUACUAUAAAUGAAAUUGAUUUGUCAAGAGGAUAAAUUUUAGAAAACACCCAAUACCUUAUAACUGUCUGUUAAUGCUUGCUUUUUCUCUACCUUUCUUCCUUGUUUCAGUUGGGAAGCUUUUGGCUGCAAGUAACAGAAACUCCUAAUUCAAAUGGCUUAAGCAAUAAGGAAAUGUAUAUUCCCACAUAACUAGACGUUCAAACAGGCCAGGCUCCAGCACUUCAGUACGUCACCAGGGAUCUGGGUUCUUCCCAGCUCUCUGCUCUGCCAUCUUUAGCGCUGGCUUCAUUCUCAGACUCUGGUAGCAUGAUGGCUGUAGCUGUUUCAUGGGCCCCUUCAAACCUCAUAGCAACCAGAGGAAGAAAAUGAGCCAUUUUUUGAGUCUCCUUCAUAGACUUGAAUAACUCUUUUUCAGAGCUUCUCACAGCAAACCUCUCCUCAUGUCUCCUCAUGUCUUAUUGUUCAGAAAUGGGUAAUGUGGCCAUUUCACCAGUCACUGCCAACAACAACGAGGUUCCUAUAAUUGUCUCUGAGUAACCCUUUGGAAUGGAGAGGGUGUUGGUCAGUCUACAAACUGAACACUGCAGUUCUGCGCUUUUUACCAGUGAAAAAAUGUAAUUAUUUUCCCCUCUUAAGGAUUAAUAUUCUUCAAAUGUAUGCCUGUUAUGGAUAUAGUAUCUUUAAAAUUUUUUAUUUUAAUAGCUUUAGGGGUACACACUUUUUGCUUACAGGGGUGAAUUGUGUAGUGGUGAAGACUCGGCUUUUAAUGUACUUGUCACCUGAGUGAUGUACAUUGUACCCAAUAGGUAAUUUUUCAUCCAUUACCCUCCUUCCGCCCUCUUCCCUUCUGAGUCUCCAACAUCCCUUAUACCACUGUGUAUGUUCUUGUGUACCUACAGCUAAGCUUCCACUUAUAAGUGAGAACAUGCAGUAUUUGGUUUUCCAUUCCUGAGUUACUUCCCUUAGGAUAACAGCCCCCAGUUCCGUCCAAGUUGCUGCAAAAUACAUUAUUCUUCUUUAUGGCUGAGUAAUAGUCCAUGGUACAUAUAUACCACAUUUUCUUUAUCCACUUAUCAGUUGAUGGACACUUAGGUUAAUUCCAUUCAAUUUCAUUCAAUUUAAGUAUAUUUGUAAGGAGCUAAAGCUGAAAAUUAAAUUUUAGAUCUUUCAAUACUCUUAAAUUUUAUAUGUAAGUGGUUUUUAUAUUUUCACAUUUGAAAUAAAGUAAUUUUUAUAAUCUU